RNAcentral lists this unclassified non-coding RNA (200 nucleotides) under Tubeufia sp. RNAcentral's name for it is "partial internal transcribed spacer 2". Lineage: Eukaryota; Fungi; Ascomycota; Dothideomycetes; Tubeufiales; Tubeufiaceae. The record is from RNAcentral.
UUAAGUUCAGCGGGUAUCCCUACCUGAUCCGAGGUCAAACCAUAGAAGAUAUGAGGUUGUCCGGCGGGCAGUGCCGACGCUCCGUAGCGGGUAGAAUUUGACUACGCUGGGAGAUCGACACCACCGCCUACGUGUUUCAGGCACGUCCUCAGCGGACGACGCCCAAUACCAAGCAGAAGCUUGAGGUUUGAAAUGACGCU